This 369-nucleotide unclassified non-coding RNA is filed under the name Hevea brasiliensis (rubber tree). Lineage: Eukaryota; Viridiplantae; Streptophyta; Magnoliopsida; Malpighiales; Euphorbiaceae. The record is from RNAcentral.
GUGUUUAAUUGGAAUGUUACUAUUGCCAUAAUCCAUAACAAAUAAUUAAAUCGUCAAAGUCUCAUUAAAUUCCUUCUGCAACCUCCCUAGGCUUUAGAUUAUAGGAAAUACUAGCAUUUGGCUUUAGUUUAAACGCAUAUUUGACUACUGCAUGAUUCUAUUCACUCUCUUUUAUACCCUGAAGAUGCAUAUGUUCCUCCUGCUCUAUUUAUUUUCUUAAUUUUCUGCAUCAAAAAUAUAAUUAAUCAUCCCCAAUCUGUUUGCAAUUCUAAAAACUUCUCCCUUGUCCUAAUCACCAAACAUGAUAAGAGCUAAUGAAGGCAGAUCAGUCCAAAUUUGUCCCAUAUCAAUGUAUUAAGCUAAAAGCAG